This 2148-nucleotide long non-coding RNA is filed under the name Rhinopithecus bieti (black snub-nosed monkey). RNAcentral's name for it is "lncRNA (ENSRBIG00000045482.1)". The record is from RNAcentral. Lineage: Eukaryota; Metazoa; Chordata; Mammalia; Primates; Cercopithecidae.
CCUGCUGCUCCCUCACCCCACAGGAUCCCAGCCCUGCUGCGAGGACAGGUGUCAGGCAGGGGGCAGUGUUGACCUGCCGGCCCCAGGCAGGUGGCUCACGCCCAGGCCAGAACCCUGGCACAGCCCAACCCUGCCCUCUGCCGGCACUGCCCCUCCACAUCACGCCCCUGCUCACUGCCAUGUCCUCUGGCCACACAGGUAGGACCACCGGGCAGCUGCCACCUGCAUGCCGUUCACAGAACCUGGUCCGGGGCGCUCCUCUGAGCCAGCCGCCUCUUUAUCCCUUACAGUGACCCUGAAGGGCGGCGGAGGCGGGGCUGGUCUCAGGUCUGGGCUUUACGCUCUGCUGCCACUGUCUUGACAUUUUAAAUACAUUUUGAAUCAGGGGACUCUCAUUUUCAUUUUGCGUGGGCUCCGCCAUUGAGGCCAAAUCCGACGCCAGAGGCGGUACUUCCUGCUGUAACCACCCCAGGACGCAGCUGGGGGGCAGGGGCGCGGGAAGGUGGGAGACCUGGAGCAGCCGGGGUCCCCGGGGUCCUCUCGGCCGGCUUCACCCCCACCCCUGGGAACCCGGGAAGAGCCGGCUUUCGCUUCCUGUCUAUUAAACCCUUUAAAGGAAGAGGGUAAAUAAAACCGCCCGUCUGCCCAGCUGGAAAGCGAUGACUCAGCCGCCCCGCCGACCCUCGCCCCAGGCUGAUCCCAGAGAGCGGGCGUCGCGGCCCAGCCCGGACCCCUCGGCUCCCGGGACCUCUCUCCGGUCCAGGUCGUGGGGACGCGGUCGGAGCAGUCCGUCCCCCAGUUCGGGACACCGCGAGGGCGCAGGGAGGAGAGCCGGCUUCCUCUUCCCCUCCCAUGUACUGAGCUCUAUGGGUUGCUGUUCUAGCCCUUUCCACGUGUUCCCUAAUCCGGCGAAGGUUACUGUUCCCCCUGGGAAGGGCCCCCGAAGAGGACGGAACGGCCAGCGCUCGGGAUCCUACGCCCGGCACGCCAUGAAGUCCCCCGACGAGGUGCUACGCGAGGGCGAGCUGGAGAAGCGCAGCGACAGCCUCUUCCAGCUAUGGAAGAAGAAGCGCGGCGUGCUCACCUCCGACCGCCUGAGCCUGUUCCCCGCCAGCCCCCGCGCGCGCCCCAAGGAGCUGCGCUUCCACUCCAUCCUCAAGGUGGACUGCGUGGAGCGCACCGGCAAGUACGUGUACUUCACCAUCGUCACCACGGACCACAAGGAGAUCGACUUCCGCUGCGCGGGCGAGAGCUGCUGGAACGCGGCCAUCGCGCUGGCGCUCAUCGAUUUCCAGAACCGCCGCGCCCUGCAGGACUUUCGCAGCCGCCAGGAACGCACCGCACCCGCCGCGCUCGCCGCACCCGCCGAGGCCGCCGAGGCCGCCGUGGCCGCCGCACCCUCCGAGCCCUCCGGGCCAUCUCCGCAGCCCAAGCCCCGCACGCCAUGAGCCCGCCGCUGUGAGUGCCCCGGCGAGCCCCGCGCCCUCACAGCCGGGACGGGGGCCGUUGGGAAAAACCACUUCAACGUCAGACGGCGGGGCGGGGCGGGGAGCUGCAUCUCCUUGGGGGACCCGGCGCCCCGCAAUCGCGCUGGCCCCCUCGCGUCAGGGUCUCGGGGCCCCUUGGGCUGGACCCCGACCGGCCCUGGCACAGCUCCCUGACCCAGUCCUUUCCCCACAGGGCCAUACGCUGGACGAGUCGGACCGAGGCCAGGACGUGGCCGGCGCUCUCCAGCUCCGCAGCAGCAGAACUUCCCGUGCGCGCGGAUCCUUGCUCCGUUGCACGGGCGCCUUAAGUUAUUGGACUAUCUAAUAUCUAUGUAUUUAUUUCACUGGUUCUUUGUAGUCACAUAUUUUAUAGUCUUAAUAUCUUGUUUUUGCAUCACUGUGCCCAUUGCAAAUAAAUCACUUGGCCAGUUUGCUUUUCUACCAUUCGGCUGUGGCUCAGUGAGGUUCCUGCUGGGAGGGUGGAGGCCCAGGAAUGGGUGGGCAGGACACCCUCAUCCAGUCCUGCGGGGCUGGCGUGAAAGGCGCUGGGAACCGGCUUUGAAUGAAUAAAUGAAUCGUCUCAUCUGCUGAGCCUGGUCCACACCCUCUUUUCUAAGUAGCCUCCCCAGAGGCCAGGAAGUGCCCUGGGGCUUGACCCUGG